This 406-nucleotide ribosomal RNA is filed under the name uncultured bacterium. RNAcentral's name for it is "bacterial SSU rRNA". It matches the Rfam family "Bacterial small subunit ribosomal RNA", at positions 121 to 518 of the family's 1533-position model. The record is from RNAcentral.
CCAACCUCGGCCCUUAGUAGGGGAGUAGCCCGGCGAAAGUCGGAUUAAUACCCUAUGUUUUCCUAUGAGGACAUCUGAGCAGGAACAAAGAUUUAUCGCUAAGGGAUGGGGAUGCGUCUGAUUAGCUUGUCGGCGGGGUAACGGCCCACCGAGGCUACGAUCAGUAGGGGUUCUGAGAGGAACGGUCCCCCACAUUGGUACUGAGACACGGACCAAACUCCUACGGGAGGCAGCAGUGAGGAAUAUUGGUCAAUGGGCGAGAGCCUGAACCAGCCAAGUAGCGUGCAGGAUGAACCUGCCCUAGUGGGUUGUAAACUGUCUUUUAUGCGGGAAUAAAGUGCAUCACGUGUGGUGUUUUGUAUGUACCGCAUGAAUAAGGACCGGCUAAUUCCGUGCCAGCCGCUGC